UACGUAGGGGGCAAGCGUUGUCCGGAUUUAUUGGGCGUAAAGAGCGUGUAGGCGGCCAUGCAGGUCCGCUGUGAAAACUCGAGGCUCAACCUCGAGACGUCGGUGGAAACCGUAUGGCUAGAGUCCGGAAGAGGAGAGUGGAAUUCCCGGUGUAGCGGUGAAAUGCGCAGAUAUCGGGAAGAACACCCGUGGCGAAGGCGGCUCUCUGGGACGGUACUGACGCUGAGGCGCGAAAGCGUGGGGAGCAAACAGG
Molecule: ribosomal RNA, 253 nt
Filed under: uncultured bacterium
Lineage: Bacteria
Description: partial 16S ribosomal RNA
Rfam family: Bacterial small subunit ribosomal RNA
Source: RNAcentral